GAUGAACGCUGGCGGCGUGCCUAAUACAUGCAAGUCGAGCGAACAGACGAGGAGCUUGCUCCUCUGACGUUAGCGGCGGACGGGUGAGUAACACGUGGAUAACCUACCUAUAAGACUGGGAUAACUUCGGGAAACCGGAGCUAAUACCGGAUAACAUGUUGAACCGCAUGGUUCAACAGUGAAAGACGGUCUUGCUGUCACUUAUAGAUGGAUCCGCGCCGCAUUAGCUAGUUGGUAAGGUAACGGCUUACCAAGGCAACGAUGCGUAGCCGACCUGAGAGGGUGAUCGGCCACACUGGAACUGAGACACGGUCCAGUCUCCUACGGGAGGCAGCAGUAGGGAAUCUUCCGCAAUGGGCGAAAGCCUGACGGAGCAACGCCGCGUGAGUGAAGAAGGUCUUCGGAUCGUAAAACUCUGUUAUUAGGGAAGAACAAAUGUGUAAGUAACUAUGCACGUCUUGACGGUACCUAAUCAGAAAGCCACGGCUAACUACGUG
Molecule: ribosomal RNA, 497 nt
Filed under: uncultured bacterium
Lineage: Bacteria
Description: partial 16S ribosomal RNA
Rfam family: Bacterial small subunit ribosomal RNA
Source: RNAcentral